This 441-nucleotide long non-coding RNA is filed under the name Linum usitatissimum (flax). RNAcentral's name for it is "long non-coding RNA (LUSI_LNC005579)". Lineage: Eukaryota; Viridiplantae; Streptophyta; Magnoliopsida; Malpighiales; Linaceae. The record is from RNAcentral.
AAAAAAUAUAUACUAACCUCAAAUUAGAUUCUCCUAAUACAAUAGAACUCGAUGUGGCUCGAUUUCUUCGGAAUAACUCCUACACAAGAUCAAUAACUAUCAAAAUCCCAAAAUUUUCAAAUCAAUUUGAAUAACCCCAAUUUACUCUUAGCUCGAACAUCCCCGAUUCAACUGACAAUAAUCCAAUUUUAACACUAAACUCUAAACCUUACAAGUUGUUGUACCCAGAACAUUAAAUCAAAACCCCAAUUUCUGACCUAAAUUAAAACCCCCAAUUCUCUAACACUUUGACUGAAUUUGAACCAUCCUCACUUGUUUGAGUUGGGAAUGGAUUGAAGGAGACGAUGGAGAGGACGGCGGCGACCGGCAGCGACCGGCGAGACAAAAGCGACGGCGGCGACGCAUGCAAACGGCGGCGAUUGCUGCUGUAAUCGACGGAGA